RNAcentral lists this ribosomal RNA (315 nucleotides) under Triticum aestivum (bread wheat). RNAcentral's name for it is "partial small subunit ribosomal RNA". The record is from RNAcentral. Lineage: Eukaryota; Viridiplantae; Streptophyta; Magnoliopsida; Poales; Poaceae.
AUGUCCGCUGGGCUGAAAGCUUUGGUUGUCAGUGGUGCACCUUUUGUAGAGAAGAGGGACGGCUUAGGGUUUGAGGACCAUGCAACAAUUUUGCUGGGUGGCAGGCUGGUAAUCAAUGGGGAAGUUGAUUUUAUGGGGAACGAUGGUCCUUGUCAGGAAGACAGUGCCGGUCGGUCUGCAAACGUGAAUGCCCUGCAAGGUCUAGCUCCUCCGGACAAGCACACAGAGGGGUCGGGUAGCCGACAAACAGUAGAGAAAAAGCCUCUUAUGAGGGCUGAGCAAACGGAUACAGUUCUGCAGCAUAUGUCGGCGUGA